RNAcentral lists this transfer RNA (76 nucleotides) under Sulfoacidibacillus ferrooxidans. RNAcentral describes it as "tRNA-Lys". It matches the Rfam family "tRNA". From Rfam's summary of the family: Transfer RNA (tRNA) molecules are approximately 80 nucleotides in length. Their secondary structure includes four short double-helical elements and three loops (D, anti-codon, and T loops). Further hydrogen bonds mediate the characteristic L-shaped molecular structure. tRNAs have two regions of fundamental functional importance: the anti-codon, which is responsible for specific mRNA codon recognition, and the 3' end, to which the tRNAs corresponding amino acid is attached (by aminoacyl-tRNA synthetases). tRNAs cope with the degeneracy of the genetic code in two manners: having more than one tRNA (with a specific anti-codon) for a particular amino acid; and 'wobble' base-pairing, i.e. permitting non-standard base-pairing at the 3rd anti-codon position. Lineage: Bacteria; Bacillati; Bacillota; Bacilli; Caryophanales; Alicyclobacillaceae. The record is from RNAcentral.
UGAGCCAUUAGCUCAGCUGGUAGAGCACCUGACUUUUAAUCAGGGUGUCGCUGGUUCGAAUCCAGCAUGGCUCAUC